This is a long non-coding RNA of Oncorhynchus keta (chum salmon), 1053 nucleotides long. RefSeq lists it as uncharacterized. NCBI's taxonomy places the organism in Eukaryota, Metazoa, Chordata, Actinopteri, Salmoniformes, Salmonidae. The transcript is spliced from 5 exons. The record is from RefSeq and is a predicted model, not a curated record.
CUAGUGGAAACCUGUUUAAUAACAGAUCUCAGUGUUCCCCCAGUGGAAACCAGUUUAAAGGUAACAGAUCUCAGUGUUCCCCAGUGGAAACCAGUUUAAUAACAGAUCUCAGUGUUCCCCAGUGGAAACCAGUUUAAAGGUAACAGAUCUCAGUGUUCCCCCAGUGGAAACCAGUUUAAAGGUAACAGAUCUCAGUGUUCCCCUAGUGGAAACCAGUUUAAUAACAGAUCUCAGUGUUCCCCCAGUGGAAACCAGUUUAAAGGUAACAGAUCUCAGUGUUCCCCUAGUGGAAACCAGUUUAAUAACAGAUCUCAGUGUUCCCCAGUGGAAACCAGUUUAAAGGUAACAGAUCUCAGUGUUCCCCAGUGGAAACCAGUUUAAAGGUAACAGAUCUCAGUGUUCCCUAGUGGAAACCUGUUUAAAGGUAACAGAUCUCAGUGUUCCCCAGUGGAAACCAGUUUAAAUGUAACAGAUCUCAGUGUUCCCCAGUGGAAACCAGUUUAAAGGUAACAGAUCUCAGUGUUCCCCAGUGGAAACCAGUUUAAAGGUAACAGAUCUCAGUGUUCCCCCAGUGGAAACCUGUUUAAAGGUAACAGAUCUCAGUGUUCCCCCAGUGGAAACCUGUUUAAAGGUAACAGAUCUCAGUGUUCCCCAGUGGAAACCAGUUUAAAGGUAACAGAUCUCAGUGUUCCCCAGUGGAAACCAGUUUAAUAACAGAUCUCAGUGUUCCCCAGUGGAAACCAGUUUAAAGGUAACAGAUCUCAGUGUUCCCCAGUGGAAACCAGUUUAAAGGUAACAGAUCUCAGUGUUCCCCCAGUGGAAACCUGUUUAAUAACAGAUCUCAGUGUUCCCCCAGUGGAAACCUGUUUAAUAACAGAUCUCAGUGUUCCCCAGUGGAAACCAGUUUAAUAACAGAUCUCAGUGUUCCCCAGUGGAAACCAGUUUAAAGGUAACAGAUCUCAGUGUUCCCCUAGUGGAAACCAGUUUAAAGGUAACAGAUCUCAGUGUUCCCCAGUGGAAACCAGUUUAAUAACAGAUCUCAGUGUUCCCCAG